This 716-nucleotide ribosomal RNA is filed under the name uncultured bacterium. RNAcentral describes it as "bacterial SSU rRNA". It matches the Rfam family "Bacterial small subunit ribosomal RNA", at positions 65 to 827 of the family's 1533-position model. The record is from RNAcentral.
AGCGCUGUAGCAAUACAGAGCGGCGCACGGGAGAGUAAUACAUGGGAACCUACCUAUUGGUUCGGGAUAACGUCGGGAAACUGACGCUAAUACCGAAUAAGUCCUUCGGGAGAAAGAUUUAUCGCCGAUAGACGGGCCCAUGUUGGAUUAGCUAGUUGGUGAGGUAACGGCUCACCAAGGCUACGAUCCAUAGCGGGUCUGAGAGGAUGAUCCGCCUCACUGGGACUGAGACACGGCCCAGACUCCUACGGGAGGCAGCAGUGGGGAAUAUUGGACAAUGGGGGCAACCCUGAUCCAGCCAUGCCGCGUGAGUGAUGAAGGCCUUCGGGUUGUAAAGCUCUUUUGGUGGGGACGAUGAUGACGGUACCCACAGAAUAAGCCCCGGCUAACUUCGUGCCAGCAGCCGCGGUAAUACGAAGGGGGCUAGCGUUGUUCGGAAUUACUGGGCGUAAAGGGCGCGUAGGCGGCUUGGCAAGUUGGGUGUGAAAGCCCAGGGCUCAACCCUGGAAUUGCACUCAAGACUGCUUUGCUUGAAUUCGGUAGAGGUUGGUGGAAUUCCCAGUGUAGAGGUGAAAUUCGUAGAGAUUGGGAAGAACACCCGUGGCGAAAGCGGCCAACUGGACCGACAUUGACGCUGAAGCGCGAAAGCGUGGGGAUCAAACAGGAUUAGAUACCCUGGUAGUCCACGCCGUAAACGAUGCAUGCUAGACGUUGGA